CUCGACUUACUCUCCUUGGCGACUGGGUUAUGCAUCAGAUCCUCAGCUGGUGUAAAUUUGUCCGACUGUGACUUUCAUGACCCCUGCAAUCCGAAGCGCUGUUUGGGAUGUCUAUAACUGAGUUAUGCAUCAGAUCCUCAGCUGGUGUAAAUUUGUCCGACUGUGACUUUCAUGACCCCUGCAAUCCGAAGCGCUGUUUGGGAUGUCUAUAACUGAGUUAUGCAUCAGAUCCUCAGCUGGUGUAAAUUUGUCCGACUGUGACUUUCAUGACCCCUGCAAUCCGAAGCGCUGUUUGGGAUGUCUAUAACUGAGUUUACCUCCAACGCAGAAAGAUGACUUAGCACCACCAAAAGAUUUCUCAUUACUGGGGCUGUGACCCCUGUUGGAAUGGGGGCUGGGGCGGUUAUAGGGGCUAUUAUGACUGCUAUCGGCCAUGGGGUUACUAUAGGCCAUACAGUUAUGGAUGGGGCCCUAAUUACGAUUCCUGCUACUCUUACCCUUACCGAUGGGGCAGUGGGUACGGCUAUGGACAAUGCUGGCCAUGUUUCGCUGAGGAGCAAUAGACCCGGAACAAGGAACAACCAGGAAACGAAAAGCAAGAUACAAUUCAGCGAUCAGCUUAUGGGCAAUGGCUUUCAGAAAUGCUGAGCAACCACCACUGCCAUGGGAGCUGUGAUUGCUCAGUGCCUCAGGAAACCUACCUAGUAGCUGGAUUUCCCUUUAUGACUGUUUCCGCUAAUGCCUCCUCUUAGAGUAUCAGAGUUGGAAGGGACCUCAGGAGAUCAUCUAGUCCAACCCCUUGCUCAAAGCAGGCACACUCCCCAAUUUUUUUUUGCCCCAGAUCCCUAAACGGCCCCCUCAAGGAUUGAACUCACAACCCUGGGUUUAGCAGGCCAAUGCUCAAACCACUGAGCUAUCCCUCCCCACCGUUAUUCUAACGGCUUCUUCUAGAACUCUCUAAAGGCCUGACUCCCAAUUCCAUGAAGGCCCCUUUAGGCCACUCUGGCAGUGUCACUGAGGCAGGGACCUUAAAGUUGGCACAAAUAACAUUUACACUCACGAGCAGGCUCCUUACAGAGCAACGUAAAGGGACCUUAGUGUCAGUGAGAAUUAGGCCCUGGGUGUACUGGCCUCUUCCUGGGUAUGGGCCAUUUGUCUCUGCCUUUAGUUUUGCUACAGAAGAUGACUCACAGAGAAAGAGCGUAGUGCUCUGCUCCCAUUCUGCUUUGUGUCAUUUGAUCCUGACUGGGAUAAAAAUGCUGGAAACAGGACUUCACUCUUACCGCUACAGCUGCAAUGAAGGAAGAAGAACAUCUGGUAUGAAAUGCAUCACCGUGGAGCCAGUGAUUUCUUGUAGACCUUCUUGAAACCCUAGAAAUAUAGUCUUUCUGCUCUGCAUUCCUUGUGUCUCUUGCUAUGUCCUUCUCUUCUAAUUCACAUUAAAGUCCUUCUGCAUCAUA
Molecule: non-coding RNA, 1460 nt
Organism: Caretta caretta (loggerhead turtle)
Lineage: Eukaryota; Metazoa; Chordata; Testudines; Cheloniidae
Source: RefSeq, a predicted model, not a curated record